This 492-nucleotide ribosomal RNA is filed under the name uncultured bacterium. RNAcentral describes it as "partial 16S ribosomal RNA". It matches the Rfam family "Bacterial small subunit ribosomal RNA", at positions 29 to 507 of the family's 1533-position model. The record is from RNAcentral.
AGUGAACGCUGGCGGUAGGCCUAACACAUGCAAGUCGAACGGCAGCACAGUAAGAGCUUGCUCUUACGGGUGGCGAGUGGCGGACGGGUGAGGAAUACAUCGGAAUCUACUUUUUCGUGGGGGAUAACGUAGGGAAACUUACGCUAAUACCGCAUACGACCUACGGGUGAAAGCAGGGGAUCUUCGGACCUUGCGCGAUUGAAUGAGCCGAUGUCGGAUUAGCUAGUUGGCGGGGUAAAGGCCCACCAAGGCGACGAUCCGUAGCUGGUCUGAGAGGAUGUUCAGCCACACUGGAACUGAGACACGGUCCAGACUCCUACGGGAGGCAGCAGUGGGGAAUAUUGGACAAUGGGCGCAAGCCUGAUCCAGCCAUACCGCGUAGGUGAAGAAGGCCUUCGGGUUGUAAAGCCCUUUUGUUGGGAAAGAAAAGCAGCAGGUUAAUACCCCGCUGUUCUGACGGUACCCAAAGAAUAAGCACCGGCUAACUUCGUG